RNAcentral lists this ribosomal RNA (484 nucleotides) under uncultured bacterium. RNAcentral's name for it is "partial 16S ribosomal RNA". It matches the Rfam family "Bacterial small subunit ribosomal RNA", at positions 28 to 523 of the family's 1533-position model. The record is from RNAcentral.
GACGAACGCUGGCGGCGUGCUUAACACAUGCAAGUCGAACGGUGAAGGUGGGAGCUUGCUCCUGCUGGAUCAGUGGCGAACGGGUGAGUAACACGUGAGUAACCUGCCCUUGACUCUGGGAUAAGCGUUGGAAACGACGUCUAAUACCGGAUACGAGCUUCAGCCGCAUGGCUAGGAGUUGGAAAGAUUUUUCGGUCAAGGAUGGACUCGCGGCCUAUCAGCUUGUUGGUGAGGUAAUGGCUCACCAAGGCGACGACGGGUGGCCGGCCUGAGAGGGUGACCGGCCACACUGGGACUGAGACACGGUCCAGACUCCUACGGGAGGCAGCAGUUUGGAAUUUUGCACAAUGGGCGAAAGCCUGAUGCAGCGACGCCGCGUGGACGAUGAAGGCCUUCGGGUUGUAAAGUCCUUUUGCUCGGGAACAAUUUUUGAGCGUACCGAGAGAAUAAGAGGUUGCUAACUCUGUGCCAGCCGCCGCCGUAA